RNAcentral lists this transfer RNA (73 nucleotides) under Bacteroidetes bacterium GWE2_42_24. RNAcentral's name for it is "tRNA-Lys". It matches the Rfam family "tRNA". From Rfam's summary of the family: Transfer RNA (tRNA) molecules are approximately 80 nucleotides in length. Their secondary structure includes four short double-helical elements and three loops (D, anti-codon, and T loops). Lineage: Bacteria; Pseudomonadati; Bacteroidota. The record is from RNAcentral. RNAcentral also lists the same sequence under 4 other names.
CUCUCCGUAGCUCAGUUGGUAGAGCAGUUGACUCUUAAUCAACGGGUCAUAGGUUCGAGCCCUAUCGGGGAGA